This 460-nucleotide ribosomal RNA is filed under the name uncultured bacterium. Its description in RNAcentral is "partial 16S ribosomal RNA". It matches the Rfam family "Bacterial small subunit ribosomal RNA", at positions 338 to 795 of the family's 1533-position model. The record is from RNAcentral.
CCUACGGGUGGCAGCAGUGAGGAAUAUUGGUCAAUGGCCGAGAGGCUGAACCAGCCAAGUAGCGUGAAGGAUGACUGCCCUAUGGGUUGUAAACUUCUUUUAUAUGGGAAUAAAAUGUUCCACGUGUGGGAUUUUGUAUGUACCUUAUGAAUAAGGAUCGGCUAACUCCGUGCCAGCAGCCGCGGUAAUACGGAGGAUCCGAGCGUUAUCCGGAUUUAUUGGGUUUAAAGGGAGCGUAGGUGGAUAGUUAAGUCAGUUGUGAAAGUUUGCGGCUCAACCGUAGAAUUGCCGUUGAAACUGGCAGUCGUGAGUACAGUAGAGGUGGGCGGAAUGCGUGGUGUAGCGGUGAAAUGCUUAGAUAUCACGAAGAACUCCGAUUGCGAAGGCAGCUCACUGGACUGCAACUGACACUGAGGCUCGAAAGUGUGGGUAUCGAACAGGAUUAGAUACCCCGGUAGUC